GCGGUCGGAGGUUCGACUGGAUAGAGUACUCGGCUACGAACCGAGCGGUCGGAGGUUCGAAUCCUCCCGGAUGCACCA
Molecule: transfer RNA, 78 nt
Filed under: Salmonella enterica subsp. enterica serovar Newport
Lineage: Bacteria; Pseudomonadati; Pseudomonadota; Gammaproteobacteria; Enterobacterales; Enterobacteriaceae
Description: tRNA-Arg
Rfam family: tRNA
About the family: Transfer RNA (tRNA) molecules are approximately 80 nucleotides in length.
Source: RNAcentral